CCUACGGGAGGCUGCAGUAGGGAAUCUUCCACAAUGGGCGAAAGCCUGAUGGAGCAACGCCGCGUGGGUGAAGAAGGUCUUCGGAUCGUAAAACCCUGUUGUUAGAGAAGAAAGUGCGUGAGAGUAACUGUUCACGUUUCGACGGUAUCUAACCAGAAAGCCACGGCUAACUACGUGCCAGCAGCCGCGGUAAUACGUAGGUGGCAAGCGUUAUCCGGAUUUAUUGGGCGUAAAGGGAACGCAGGCGGUCUUUUAAGUCUGAUGGGAAAGCCUUCGGCUUAACCGGAGUAGUGCAUUGGAAAAUGGGAGACUUGAGUGCAGAAGAGGAGAGUGGAACUCCAUGGGUAGCGGUGAAAUGCGUAGAUAGAUGGAAGAACACCAGUGGCGAAAGCGGCUCUCUGGUCUGUAACUGACGCUGAGGUUCGAAAGCGUGGGUAGCAAACAGGAUUAGAUACCCUAGUAGUC
RNAcentral lists this ribosomal RNA (465 nucleotides) under uncultured bacterium. RNAcentral describes it as "partial 16S ribosomal RNA". It matches the Rfam family "Bacterial small subunit ribosomal RNA", at positions 338 to 795 of the family's 1533-position model. The record is from RNAcentral.